Molecule: transfer RNA, 77 nt
Filed under: Flavobacteriaceae bacterium
Lineage: Bacteria; Pseudomonadati; Bacteroidota; Flavobacteriia; Flavobacteriales; Flavobacteriaceae
Also listed under: 5 other names
Description: tRNA-Ile
Rfam family: tRNA
About the family: Transfer RNA (tRNA) molecules are approximately 80 nucleotides in length. Their secondary structure includes four short double-helical elements and three loops (D, anti-codon, and T loops).
Source: RNAcentral
GGGCUCUUAGCUCAGUUGGUUAGAGCGCCCCGCUCAUAACGGGGUGGUCCGGGGUUCAAGUCCCUGAGAGCCCACCA